Molecule: microRNA precursor, 87 nt
Filed under: Bombyx mori (domestic silkworm)
Lineage: Eukaryota; Metazoa; Arthropoda; Insecta; Lepidoptera; Bombycidae
Description: mir-2856 microRNA precursor family
Rfam family: mir-2856 microRNA precursor family
Source: Rfam by way of RNAcentral
UUGUACUAUCUUGUCUGUGGUUCGAGGGUGUGAUUAGCACAGCACUAUAGGCGGAACAUUCGAGAACCGUAAGACAAUUCGUAUAAA